This 505-nucleotide ribosomal RNA is filed under the name uncultured bacterium. RNAcentral's name for it is "partial 16S ribosomal RNA". It matches the Rfam family "Bacterial small subunit ribosomal RNA", at positions 28 to 507 of the family's 1533-position model. The record is from RNAcentral.
GACGAACGCUGGCGGCGUGCCUAAUACAUGCAAGUAGAACGCACAGUUUAUACCGUAGCUUGCUACACCAUAGACUGUGAGUUGCGAACGGGUGAGUAACGCUUAGGUAACCUGCCUGGUAGCGGGGGAUAACUAUUGGAAACGAUAGCUAAUACCGCAUAAUAUUAAUUAUUGCAUGAUAAUUAAUUGAAAGGUGCAAUUGCACCACUACCAGAUGGACCUGCGUUGUAUUAGCUAGUAGGUGAGGUAACGGCUCACCUAGGCGACGAUACAUAGCCGACCUGAGAGGGUGAUCGGCCACACUGGGACUGAGACACGGCCCAGACUCCUACGGGAGGCAGCAGUAGGGAAUCUUCGGCAAUGGACGAAAGUCUGACCGAGCAACGCCGCGUGAGUGAAGAAGGGUUUCGGAUCGUAAAGCUCUGUUGUAAGAGAAGAACGGGUGUGAGAGUGGAAAGUUCACACUGUGACGGUAUCUUACCAGAAAGGGACGGCUAACUACGUG